CUCUCAGCCUUCAGCAGGCUCCAGAGUACUUGGCACGGGGGCAAGGCUCUCACAACAGCUGUGCCCCUUUGCUAAUGGCUUGACAAAUAUGAGCAUUUUUGCAUUUGUCACAAAAUCCCCAGGCCUGUCGCUUUCAAGUUUCUCAAGGCUUUAAUUCCAUGCCAGUAUAUUGGGCUGGGGGGAGUGAGGGAGAAGCAAUGCUCCACAGAUGUCCAAGGCUGGAAUAUCCUGGGAAGCAUUAAUCCUCUGAAGACAAAUAUUCCGUGAAGAGAGAGAUUUUGAAUAUGCGCUGCGUUUCUACAAACACUUUAAGCUGGCAUAAGCCAGCUCUGCAGCAACUUCUUUCAGAGGGCAGACCACUAUUCCUGUUCCUCUGCCUUCUCCUUCCUGGCCCAGUACUGCUCCUUUCCCCAUGCUGGCACCAGCACACACAUGAUUGUGAAGUGAACCAGGCCAGGGAACUCUGCCAGCUAAAAACUAAACAAUUUCCUUUUCCCCAGGUUAGUUUUGACCUGGAUGAGUUCCCUGAUGUGGUUCACUGCGGGGCCACAAGAACACUUGUGCUGGCACAAGUGAAGCUUUCUCUGGAUGUACAGUGGUGUAGCUGAAAGCAGGAUUGCCUCCAUGACUCUGUAGCAGCAUUGGUCUGCUCCCUGCUCUGGCAGCUGACAAUGCAUUUCCUUCUGCAGGGAGUCCUCACAGACUCCCCAGGGUUGGCAGAACACAGAGAAGAGGGUUGCUAGAGGCACUUUCACACCUACUAAUGGAAGAGUCAUCAAAACUGGUCUCUAAGGGAAAUGAUUUCUCCUUGAAAGUGAAAAGAGUUAAAUCAUGGUGGGUGCUUCCUGACACGAAAUUCAGCCCGUGAGAGGAGACUGCUGGAGGGGAGGGAGUUGUCCCUCUUUAGGACUAUACACACCCUUCUGAACAUUCUCUCUGCUUGCUUCUUGUCUUACAAGAAUAUGCAAAAGAUGACAAGUAUCUUUUGCAAGACCUGCAGCUAUUUACUACAGGAUUUGUAGAGAAAAACAGUACAGCCUCCCUGUUUCCCCUCCAAACCCAGGACUGAGAUUAUUGCAGCAAAAGAAUUAAGGCUCUUGCUGGAAAAGAAAAACUCACUCGUUUGCAUGGGAGUUACAGGCAGGACUUGGGUGAUGGGCUAAUACCCAUCAACACAUUUUUGAUGUCACUGUGCUGUUCCCCUCUACUUGAGCUGACAGCUGAUGGCAGGGCUUGGCUGCAUCUCCCCUGCAUUGAGAGGAGUUUGGAUGUCAGAUGGAGGGAGAUGGAGCAAGCUUGAGCAGCCAGCCGUGAGCAGAGCGAAGCAGUGAGGAAUGACUCUCUGCUCGGGGGUGUGAGGUGCCACUGCGAGCCUGACCUUUUGAAUACAAAGCAUUUGUCAGAAAUCCGGAGAAAAACGAGCCGAACCAGUCAGGGUGGCUCUGCCUUUCUUUCAAGGGAAGCUCAUGUAUUUAAGCAGACACACCUACCCCCAGGCAUGACCCAGACAUUGUAUGCAGGGAUCUCUGAUGAUACUGGGGGCCCUCGUUAACUCCAGCUAGCAGGAGAAAUAAACUUCACAACCUUGUGUGGGCUCUUUGCUCAUUCCAGAUGGGAGUCCAGUAACUCCCAUUCUAGCCAGGGCAAGUUGUAAAAGGUAACAAGAUGUUAAAGGCACCAUGACCUGGGUGCAGGCAGCUCUGCUAAGAGAUGUGUGUAUCCUAAAUAUCCCGUCCUGCACCUUGGAGUUUCAGUGCUCAGUGUCUACCACACAGACAGCCUCUCUCAGAGUCUGUCUCCCAACAUCUCUGUGAGUCCCUGAGCCACCACUCUCCAAUGCAGAUCUCCCAAAAUCUCAUGCCUGGAGCUCUGGACUCCCAUGACUGAAUCCCCCAUGAUGUUCUCCGUGUGCACCACGGCCUCUCAGCCAUGGAGGUUCUCAGCCUCACACCUUGGUGGUCAUGGCAGGAGAAUGAGGAUGUGAAUGGCAGCUCGGGGUCAGGAGAGAGCAGUGAAGUUUAUGCACCCUGGAAUCCCUCUCAGAGGCACUUUCAUGCACCACAGCUGAGAGUUCUGUCCAUCCAGAUCUGGAGAGCUGAGACACGCCAUCCUAAGUAUGAGAGGUCACACAUGAUGAACCGUCCUUACACUCCACCAUUCCAAGUAUGCUUUUCCCAGGAGCAUUUCUUCCCUCCUUUAUUAGAUCUGCUUUAAGCUGCUGCAGAGCUGCACCCCCAGUAACCUCCCAGGGACUCUUGGAAACAUCCACAGGUUGCGCACCAUGGAAUAACACAUCAGCACAUUCCAGAGUCACUUUCAACUCCGCUCUCCUCCCUAAGCCAUUCGCGCACGCAAAUCUCCUCUGUGGAUUAGGGAAGGCAGAACUCCAGCUGGGAAGGACCCCCUCCUGUUCCCUGCUCCUUUCUGCAGCAGCAGACAGAACAAUUGGCCUCCGAGCGAAGCUCGAGUCCCGCAGCGCUGCCUGAGCCGUGCGGGGCAAACAUCCAGCGGGGUGAGGAACCGGCGGAUCGGGGAGCGAGCCCUGGUGUCGCUCCGUGCUCGGCCCUGACAUCUAGUGGAACAAUUCCUCUAAAGCACCUCAAGCCGAGCGGGAAGGAUCAGGGUUCGCUUCCCUGCGAAGCUCGAUGGAACAGCCGUUCGUCUGUGUGAUCGUUUCUCUUAUUGCACGUGACGGUGCCAAAGGAUUUGUUGCGGGAGAAAGGAGGAGGUCGCUGCAUGAACAAGGAGAACGCACUUUGGGUAGUAAUUUUUACCUUUUCCUCCAAAUCUGAAGUUCUUUUUGCUGUCAGGUGGAAGGUCUUUUUGCUGCAGCAGUGACAAUCAUCAGUUUCACAGUUACUUCUUGAUUAACACCAUUAAAUGAAAACCAACUGUGACACAAUCCCCAGAGACCAUAGGGUAAAACUGUCAGAGAGCUCAUAAUAAACCCUGUGAAAGAUGCAAAAUUGCUAUGGGCUAAAUUUUCCACCUGGCUUCUCAGAACACAGCUGUGCCACUUGUAAGUACCACUGUUUGCACACACGACCCCUUGCUCUGUUUUCACAGGUGAGAAAGGAGCUCUCAGUGCACGGAAACAUUUUGUCUGUAUAAACCAGAUUUUUCAACUGCUCAGCUGGAAGUGAUGCACACAAUUGUCUUUCAUAAGGAAAUGCAUAAAAACCUCACUGCAGCCAAGAGGCCAAAUGUGGUUUUUUUUUUUUGCUCUUGGAAAGUUGUGGAGUGGUUGUGAUGCACUUUGUGUAGGAGCUGGAAGCAUUGCAGUGACAGUGACAGCAAAGAUGGCCAGCUGCUGCUGAGGUACAACAGGAAUCUUUAUUUGUAAGAUUUAUAGACUCUGCAUUUGUGGUGCUUGAUCACCAGCACAGACAAAUUGAGUUUCCCAUAGCCAGACAGCCCUGUAAGGGUCUGGGUCUUAAGUUCAUGCCUUCCCACAUGCAGGUCAGAUCUUUACAAAGGCCAAACCUCAUUCUUUUACAUUAUUCAAAGAGGGGCAUAGAGAAAGGGGCAGGAAUGCCUUAAAUGGCCCCAGGAAUUUCCACCCCAAGGUUGGAGUACUCCUCAGAGAUGUGCUUCAGGGUGCCUGGCCAAGUGACUGACUAACCCUGGGGAAAGUUACUGCCCAUCAGCUGACUCUGCUUGUGGGGCACACCUUAUUUCAUCUCUAAUGCCAACAGAGUUGGUUACUGGGCUGUGCUGAUUGUUGGCAACUUAUUAAACUGCUUUCAGUUGCAUGUCUGGACCUUAAAAGUCUGAUCUGAGACAGGUGAAGUAGAAUCAGAGCCAAAGCUUUUGUACUCUUUCCAUCUGCUACUUGAUUCUUCAUCAAAUUCAGGGCAGAGGCAGUGUCAGAGAGCUCCUGCAGAACAGAGGCAUCUCUGCUGUUAAUGUGCUGGGCAGUGCCUCUGUCUCAGGGCCAGGGCUUCUCCUGGUGGGUUUAUUUAGAAUUUGCACAGUUUGAUCACUGCACAAGUCUUAAACAAGGAAUUAAUUGAGAUUUUAAUAAAUGGUCACUGCAUGCUAAUUGAGUACCCACUUGAUUAUUUAAAGAUAUUAUGUGAAGUUUGUGUAAUUGGUUACAUUGGUAUUAAAUUAGCAUAUAAAAUCUCCUGCAACUCUCAUAUGAUUUAAUGAGGCUGUUAUCGUGCGUGAAUAAAACGGUGAUUGAUGAGUGAAAACCUCUUUUCCGAGCACCGAGAUUGUUUAAUAAAGUCAGAAAUAUUUCUGACAUGUACUGAGUUACUCAUGUUAUGCAGGUCACUUUUUGACAACAGAGUGACCCAUGUGUAUAAUGAGGACUUUGAGAUUGAAAUGGAUUUCUAACUAACCCAGCAUGUGACUGGAUUUGGACCUGCAGUCUCACAGCAGCCCAUGAAACAAAGAGAGGUCACUACUCUGUCCUGGCUGAACUCUCUUUUUAAUUGUCAAACACUGAAAUGAACUGAGCUGUAUUUCAGGGUUCAAAAGAAUAGAAAAUAUAAAAGACAAGCAGUAAUCUGGAAAAGGAGGUUUUGAAGCUUCUUCUCACAUUACUGUAAUCCUGAUGCCACUUCCAUCUGACAGCUCAGAGCUGCCUCAUGUGUGGUCUGUCUUGGGUGUGCUGAAACCCCAGCAUCAGCCCAGGGACAGCCCAGCCAAACCCCCUUUCCUCUGGCUGUGACUUCCAUCUCCUACUGUCCUGGCAACAGAAAGGUGCAGCAUCUUAAGAGAAUCUUUGAUGGCCAUUACAGGAAUUGUGGUGUGUUGCACUGAUUUGGGGCCAGAGUAUGUGGAUAAAAUGGCACCUGUAGAUGCAUUUGAGCAAAGCCACUCCAGCAGUGUGGGGGAGAGGGACAUUACCCUGCAAUGAACUGUUUUGGGGUUCACUGGCAGUUGGUGUAAGAAAGAACAGCCACAUUGGCAGGAGCUGAGGGCUGUUUGCAGGGAGUGUGGAGUCGCUCCUGCUCCCGAGUUCCUGAGCUGAUGGCAGGGUACUCAGCCGCAUAAGGUGAAAAUAUGGAUGCUAGGAUUUGAUGUAACUGAGCCCUGCUCUGCCUGUGUGGAAAGCAGAUGUUCUCAAGUUUCCAGGUGUUGAGAAAUGCUGUGUCAAGCUCAUGGAGAAGCUUGCCAGGUAGUUUAAAGAUUGUUAGUUUUCUCAUCUCCUGGGCACACUCCCAAGCCAGUGUUCGAUGCCUGAAACAAGGUAGACAAACAUCUGUCAAGACUGAUGCCGGCAGAGCUGCUCCUGCCUUGGGGCAUCCAGACAGUCUAGGUGAUCUUUAGAGACCCUUUCCAGCCCUUAUCUGAGACUAAUUUCUUGAAGAAAUAGGACCUGUACGAACUUUCUACUUCUCAAUCCUCCCUCUCUCCAACAGUUUUGGAGCCAAUUGGCCAUUUUUAAAUAUGUUUAAAUUGGCCAAUUUUAAAUAUUUAAAUUCUUUAAAUAAGAAUGAAGAAUAGAUAUCUAUGGUUGGGUGGCUGUGCAUAUCCAUGAUUCCUGGGAAUCAUACUACCUGUGCUCACAGUAGGAAGGAAGCAGAAGAUGUGCCCAGCUGAACUCCUGUCAAAUGCACCCAUUGGAAACAAUAAGAUAAACCACCUCUGUCAUUUACUUCCAAUGCAGGAAGUGUUAACUGUGCUCUCUGUUCAUUAGCACUCCCGGCUUCCCGAGCAGCCAUCCGCAGAGCUGCUGCAGGAUUCACAGCUACGAGCCUCUGGAACCUAAUUCUGAUUCAUGAGCUGGAAUCUCUCUGGCACAGCCCUUGUGGAGCUCAAAAUCUAGCUGGUUUUUACCUGGCCUUACAUGUGCCGAGCCAGCAUUUGGCCAUAUGCAGAAGAUUUUGCAGAAGCCACCUAAAAUCUUUUGCUGAAGAGGUUUUGCAGAGUGGGAGCUUGGCAAGGUGGUUUUAUGUGCUGUAAUUUGGAGGUUGCUGUCAGACUUCUGCAAAACCUGACUAGUAUUCUGUUUUGCUGGCUAGUACAAAUCUUGUUGUGCUGAAUGUAAUCAAACAUCUCUCAAAUUAACAGUUACCAGAGGCACUGGGUACUUUUUGAUUUUGUAAAAGAAGAACUUAACUUUUAAGUCUGUCUUACUCUGAAAGAUAUUUCUGUGUGGCAAAUGCACUAGAAGUAGUCCACUGGAAAAUAUCCAUUUAACAAAACUCAAAUAUUUUCACAAGUGUAACAGCUUCAUCAGUAUUUACAUGGGAAGAUAUUUCUUACAUAAGACUGAAAUGCUUCAUUUGAUAAGAAAGGACCUUUAAUUCCAAAAGGGUCAAAAUGUUUCAUUUCAAUUUCAAGAUGAUUUCUUAUAAUGUAUGAAUUAAAUUAAAAGGAAAUACAGUGUGAACACAUUUUGACCUUUCUGACAGAAAACAUGGUUAUGCAGCAUAAAUGAGGACUGUUUCAACAGAAAGUUUGAAGUUUUUAGUUUUCUUCAAAAUUCAGAAUGAAACAUCCUUCAAAAAUAUUGAUUUUCCUUUUCACAUUUUUAUGUUUAGAAAGAAUUUAAAUUUUCUUCAAGAACUGCAAGUGUUUAUUAUACUUGCAUCUACAUGGUCAAGAUGUUACUACUUCAGUUUUUCCUAGAGAUUAGGACCACGAUUGUCUUUAAAAUAAUAAUAAUAACAAUAUUGCAUUUACUGGCAUGUAGCCAUAUCUGGGAAUUCUUGAGAAAGCUCUAUUUUAAUAACUGGAUUGGUGGUAGUGAAAAUCCUCAUAAACACUGGCUAAGAGCCAGGUGAGGAAAAUAUUAUAUUAAUUUAAUGGAUAGACAACCUGCUGUACAAAAUGGUCACUUCAGUGUCUGUGCCAGUAUCACAAGUCCUGAGCAGGUGAAAUUGGAGUAGAUACUUGGCCAUGCAGCAGCUGACUGUGGACUCUGUCUGGCCAGCCAGCCUUUCUUCUGCACGUCCCCAGAACUCAGACAUCAGCACUUGGAAAAUUCUUGUAUCUUCCCCAAAUUUUUCUCGAGUACAUUGUUGUGCAACACACUGGCAGCUUCCAGUGCUUCUGUAACUACACAUCUAGGGGAGAGUUUUUGUCUGGGAGGAAUUUGCUAGGUUGAAGGAAAAAUAAAGGAGGCUGUAUUCCCUCUUCCUUUAGGAUCCCACAGCGCAUGGCAUUUUUUCUGGCAGUGGGAUGGAGGAUUGUCCAUAUAGCUGCAAAAUCCUUUCAUGCACAUAACUUCCAUUCCUGCUCCCCCAGGAGUCACUGAUUUACCUCUGUGUUCUCUGAACUGGUUAAAGCAGCACCUUCCAGCUGCUCCUCUCUCUGCUGAGCUACCAGUCCUAAAAUCCUGUUCCUAAUGAAGAAAUGCUCUUCCUGGCACUUGUGGGAUUUAACCAGCCCUAAGCCCUGGACAAUUCUGUGUUUUAACCAAGCUAAUGUGAAGUGUGCUACAAACACAUGUCACCUCCUGUAUGUAUCUUCUGAUUUUUUUACCUGUUUUUCCUAGAUGAGAAUUGUCCCAUUUUUUAUUCCCCUAUGCAGAAUUAAUUCUUCUAUUUUAGACCUUAGAGAUGCUUGUAUUAAAGCAACAAGGGAGGAGCUUGGCUGUAAAAGACUAUCCCAAAAAUGCCAAGUAAAACUGGCCUUUGUUUUGUGCCAUUUCCGGACUCUGCAACAUUUUAAUAACAAAUCCUGAAGCCAUAUGACAGUAAUAUGGAGCAUCUUUUUAUGAUAAACAUAAGUAAUGAGCCUUGUCAAAGAGACAGGGGAAUGAGUAACACAUAGUGAUCUCCAUUCAAAGAAAAAGAAAGAACAACUGUUGGGGAAAAAAAAAAACCAUGACAUUUUCCCAAAUCUCUGCAUAUCGGUGGCCAUAAAGCAAUAAAAUUCCAGGACACUGUGAGCUUAGGCACACAGAGAAGUAAAUGGGAAAAAAUGUUUGGGAAGACAAUGCAACAUUGUCUCAUAAUUUACAAACCCCUAAUGAUUUCCAAAGCUGGUAUGCGAGAUUUACCCUCCUUUUUUGGCAUUCAAAUUGACGCAGGGGCUUUUUCCUGCCAACUGGAACAUUCUUUAGGUGUUUUUUUUCCUUUGCAUGAAGUUCGUUGUGAUCCCAUGCUUGCUAUUAUUCAUAAAUUAAUUUCUGGCAUCGCAAUAAAUUCUAGGAAAACCAAUAAACCACAAACGUACAGCUAAUUCUUUGUCAUUUUUCUUUCUUUCUCUCUUUUUUUUCUGUGGGAAAGAAAAAAAAAAAGAAGCAGUAAAUGUUUGCCGAGGUGCUGGAUCCACAGCAGGAAUUUAUGUUUCCAAUUGUUCUUCCUAACUUGUCAAAGAAGUUUUAUUGCAGUCGACAAUCUUUAUUGGGUCUGUUGGGCAGAGCCAGCUUCAGAACGUAUCUUAGAGUGAGCCUGUGUAAUACAUGGAAACACAUUUCCAGUGCCUGCUGAAACUGGGGCAGAUCCCAAAACUCUGACUUGCUUUCUGCUCAGUCUUUACUGUGAGAUCAACAGGGUGGGUUUUUUGUGUGGAAAAACUCACCUCUGAAAAAAGUCAUGGGGUCCUUAACUAUUGCAUGAGGUAAAUGUUCCCAGCUGCAUUUAACUGGAAUUUCAGGUCAGCAGGAAUUUUCAUUCCAGAAGUAGAAGGGCUUGGUUGCUCACCAAGGUGUGCAUUUGUGCUUGCACAUUGCCCACGUGUGCACCAAGUGCUUUGGGGCAGGAAGUAUUGCUUCUCACAGCAGCUGUACCAAGCAGGCUGACACGGGCCAGGCAACAGGAAAAAAACCAUCAUUAACAACCAGGGGAGAGCCUGUCACUUGCAGCUCAUUCCCCAAGACAAAGGAAAAUGUGUGUCUAGUCCAUUAGGCAACUGAGAUGUGAAAAUAGCUCCAUUUUUCUUGGUGUGAUAAUACAGAUUUAGAGCCUCAUUUCCAUUAAAAUUACUGGGUUGAAAUGUCCACACCAGAUCCUUAUUAUGAUUAAUCUAUAUACAGGCAGGUAUGUACAUAUAGUAGCUCUAACUCAUCUCUCUGUCUCUUUUGGCUGAGCUGGGUUCAGAUUCCAUUUCCUUUGGGAAACAGCAGGCAGAGAUUGUAAAGUCCUUCCCUGAUUGAAGACUUCAUUCCAGAACUUAAUGGAAUUUAGGUGCCAACUGCCCACUGAAGUAUUAGGAGUACCUAAGUGCACUGAGGAGCUGGGCAUCCCAGCUGCAGCUCCAGGAAAGCUUCAAGAACUUCAGCUGCUUAAAGAGUGCUACAUCACUGGAGAUGGUAGGAGUUUUCUUGGCCAUCUGGAAGCUGAGCUUCAGCACCUGCAAGUUUUUCUCUUUAAGGCUUUCAUGCUACAGCUGGGGAAAGCUUGCAUGAGCUGCCAUGUCCUGCCCUUGAAAGCAUGGAGGUUCCUUCAGGCUUGAGGGGCACUGUUGGCAAAAAGAACAGAUUUACAAACAGAAGGGAUGAAUGAACUCUCAGUAUCCUUCUAAAUGAGGAAAAGCCCUGCCUGAAGUUUUCUUACGUGAGCUGACCAGCUUCAGUUCAAGUACUACAGCAAUUAGGAAAAUCUUGCUUUUUGCCAACAGGGGAUGAUUAACAGAAAGAUGUUUGUUUUUUCUUGUAACCAGUCUUCUUUCUGAGUGAGUCCUGUCAAAACUCAACCAGGCCUGCAAAAGCACUUGGAAUUCCCAGCAUGCCAGGUGGUAAUGCUAAGAGGCAAAACUCCUACAAAGUG
This is a long non-coding RNA of Motacilla alba alba, 9671 nucleotides long. RefSeq lists it as uncharacterized. The record is from RefSeq and is a predicted model, not a curated record. NCBI's taxonomy places the organism in Eukaryota, Metazoa, Chordata, Aves, Passeriformes, Motacillidae. The transcript is spliced from 4 exons.